CAAUAGCGUAUAUUAAAGUUGUUGCAGUUAAAAAGCUCGUAGUUGGAUUUCUGGUGGGAGCGAUCGGUCUGGCGCUUAGCGCGAGUACUUGCAUCGUCUCCGGCCAUCCUUGGGGAGAGUCUGUCUGGCAUUAGGUUGUCGGGCAGAGGAUCCUCAUCGUUUACUGUGAAAAAAUUAGAGUGUUCAAAGCAGGCUUAUGCCGUUGAAUAUAUUAGCAUGGAAUAAUAAGAUAGGACUUUGGUACUAUUUUGUGGGUUUGCGCACCAAAGUAAUGAUUAAUAGGGACAGUUGGGGGUAUUCGUAUUCCGUUGUCAGAGGUGAAAUUCUUGGAUUUACGGAAGACGAACUACUGCGAAAGCAUUUACCAAGGAUGUUUUCAUUAA
RNAcentral lists this ribosomal RNA (383 nucleotides) under uncultured eukaryote. RNAcentral's name for it is "partial 18S ribosomal RNA". It matches the Rfam family "Eukaryotic small subunit ribosomal RNA", at positions 592 to 976 of the family's 1831-position model. The record is from RNAcentral.